GUCUCGUUCAGGAUCAGGGCGAAGCCGAUGCCGAGCACCACCUGAAGCACGAUCGACCCGAGGGAAUAAAGCACGCCGUUCCAGAGGGCGCGCCAGAACUCCGGCAACUUCAGAAUUGCGAUGUAGUUGUCGAAACCGACCCACUUGGCUUCACCUACGAACGAAUCGAGCUUGUAGAAGCUCAGGCUGAUCGCAUACGCCACCGGCG
Molecule: unclassified non-coding RNA, 208 nt
Filed under: Hevea brasiliensis (rubber tree)
Lineage: Eukaryota; Viridiplantae; Streptophyta; Magnoliopsida; Malpighiales; Euphorbiaceae
Source: RNAcentral